GAUGAAGAACGCAGCGAAAUGCGAUAAGUAAUGUGAAUUGCAGAAUUCAGUGAAUCAUCGAAUCUUUGAACGCACAUUGCGCCCCUUGGUAUUCCGAGGGGCAUGCCUGUUCGAGCGUCAUUAUAACCCCUCAAGCUCAGCUUGGUGUUGGGGCCUGCUGCACUGGCAGCCCUUAAAAUCAGUGGCGGCGCCAUCUGGCUCUAAGCGCAGUAAUUCUUCUCGCUAUGGAGUCCUGGUGGAUGCUUGCCAUCAACCCCCAAUUUUUCUAUGGUUGACCUCGGAUCAGGUAGGGAUACCCGCUGAACUUAAGCAUAUCAAUAAGCGGAGGA
RNAcentral lists this unclassified non-coding RNA (329 nucleotides) under soil metagenome. RNAcentral describes it as "partial contains 5.8S ribosomal RNA, internal transcribed spacer 2, and large subunit ribosomal RNA". The stretch from base 1 to 120 matches the Rfam family "5.8S ribosomal RNA", at positions 35 to 154 of the family's 154-position model. The record is from RNAcentral.